GCCAGUUUGGUGUAAUGGUAACACAUCUCUUGGGGGUGACCCACAGAGGAGCUACAGGUUCGAUUCCUGGCACUGGCA
Molecule: non-coding RNA, 78 nt
Organism: Aspergillus avenaceus
Lineage: Eukaryota; Fungi; Ascomycota; Eurotiomycetes; Eurotiales; Aspergillaceae
Source: the annotation of a GenBank genome assembly